This 24-nucleotide non-coding RNA is filed under the name Arabidopsis thaliana (thale cress). Lineage: Eukaryota; Viridiplantae; Streptophyta; Magnoliopsida; Brassicales; Brassicaceae. The record is from RNAcentral.
GUCAUCUACUCACAUGUUCGCCAC